GUCCCCUUCGUCUAGAGGCGGACACCGCCCUUUCACGGCGGUAACAGGGGUUCGAAUCCCCUAGGGGACGCCA
This 73-nucleotide transfer RNA is filed under the name Escherichia coli. RNAcentral's name for it is "tRNA-Glu". It matches the Rfam family "tRNA". Rfam says of the family: Transfer RNA (tRNA) molecules are approximately 80 nucleotides in length. Their secondary structure includes four short double-helical elements and three loops (D, anti-codon, and T loops). The record is from RNAcentral. Lineage: Bacteria; Pseudomonadati; Pseudomonadota; Gammaproteobacteria; Enterobacterales; Enterobacteriaceae.